This 73-nucleotide transfer RNA is filed under the name Choricystis parasitica. Its description in RNAcentral is "tRNA-Asn". It matches the Rfam family "tRNA". Rfam says of the family: Transfer RNA (tRNA) molecules are approximately 80 nucleotides in length. Their secondary structure includes four short double-helical elements and three loops (D, anti-codon, and T loops). The record is from RNAcentral. Lineage: Eukaryota; Viridiplantae; Chlorophyta; Trebouxiophyceae.
UCUCCAAUAGCUCAGUUGGUAGAGCGUCUGACUGUUAAUCAGAAUGUCGUAGGUUCAAGCCCUACUUGGGGAG